Molecule: ribosomal RNA, 252 nt
Filed under: uncultured Bacteroidales bacterium
Lineage: Bacteria; Pseudomonadati; Bacteroidota; Bacteroidia; Bacteroidales
Description: partial 16S ribosomal RNA
Rfam family: Bacterial small subunit ribosomal RNA
Source: RNAcentral
UACGUAGGGGGCAAGCGUUAUCCGGAUUUAUUGGGUUUAAAGGGUGCGCAGGCGGAAUGUCAAGUCAGCGGUAAAAUUGCGGGGCUCAACCCCGGCCCGCCGUUGAAACUGGCAGUCUCGAGUUGGAGAGAAGUAUGCGGAAUGCGUGGUGUAGCGGUGAAAUGCAUAGAUAUCACGCAGAACUCCGAUUGCGAAGGCAGCAUACCGGCGCCCGACUGACGCUGAAGCACGAAAGCGUGGGUAUCGAACAGG